RNAcentral lists this ribosomal RNA (301 nucleotides) under uncultured bacterium. RNAcentral describes it as "partial 16S ribosomal RNA". It matches the Rfam family "Bacterial small subunit ribosomal RNA", at positions 509 to 807 of the family's 1533-position model. The record is from RNAcentral.
CAGUCGCCGCGGGAAUACAGAGGGUGCGAGCGUUAAUUGGAUUUACUGGGCGUAAAGCGUGCGUAGGCGGCUUCUUAAGUCGGAUGUGAAAUCCCUGAGCUUAACUUAGGAAUUGCAUUCGAUACUGGGAAGCUAGAGUAUGGGAGAGGAUGGUAGAAUUCCAGGUGUAGCGGUGAAAUGCGUAGAGAUCUGGAGGAAUACCGAUGGCGAAGGCAGCCAUCUGGCCUAAUACUGACGCUGAGGUACGAAAGCAUGGGGAGCAAACAGGAUUAGAUACCCCCGUAGUCCCUGUCUCUUAUAC